RNAcentral lists this ribosomal RNA (527 nucleotides) under uncultured bacterium. RNAcentral's name for it is "bacterial SSU rRNA". It matches the Rfam family "Bacterial small subunit ribosomal RNA", at positions 8 to 524 of the family's 1533-position model. The record is from RNAcentral.
AGAGUUUGAUCCUGGCUCAGAUUGAACGCUGGCGGCAGGCCUAACACAUGCAAGUCGAGCGGUAACAGGAAGUAGCUUGCUAUUUCGCUGACGAGCGGCGGACGGGUGAGUAAUGCCUGGGAAUAUGCCUUGAUGUGGGGGAUAACUAUUGGAAACGAUAGCUAAUACCGCAUAAUGCCUACGGGCCAAAGAGGGGGAUCUUCGGACCUCUCGCGUCAAGAUUAGCCCAGGUGGGAUUAGCUAGUUGGUGGGGUAAAGGCUCACCAAGGCGACGAUCCCUAGCUGGUCUGAGAGGAUGAUCAGCCACACUGGAACUGAGACACGGUCCAGACUCCUACGGGAGGCAGCAGUGGGGAAUAUUGCACAAUGGGGGAAACCCUGAUGCAGCCAUGCCGCGUGUAUGAAGAAGGCCUUCGGGUUGUAAAGUACUUUCAGCAGUGAGGAAGGUGGUAGUGUUAAUAGCACUAUCAUUUGACGUUAGCUGCAGAAGAAGCACCGGCUAACUCCGUGCCAGCAGCCGCGGUAAU